Molecule: ribosomal RNA, 500 nt
Filed under: uncultured Myrionecta
Lineage: Eukaryota; Ciliophora; Litostomatea; Cyclotrichida; Mesodiniidae
Description: bacterial SSU rRNA
Rfam family: Eukaryotic small subunit ribosomal RNA
Source: RNAcentral
GAAAACUUACCAGGUCAAGACAUGGGCGUGAUUGACAGGCUAAUGACUUUUCUCGAUUCCAUGGAUGGUGGUGCAUGGUCGCACUUAGUUGGUGCAGUGAUUUGUCAGGUUUAUUCCGGUAACGAACGAGACCUCGGCCUUGUAAAUAGCUAUGCUGCUUACAGGGACAUUGGCGGCUACGCCAAGGAAGCUCGAGGCAAUUGCAGAUCUGGAAUGCCCUUAGAUGUCCUGGGUCGCACGCGUGCUACAAUGACGCCACGAACGAGCUUGCGUGAUGAAAGUUACGCAUAAUCAGCAGUCGGCGUCUUAAGGGAUAGUCUCUUGUAACUGUGGGACUCCAACUAGGAAUGUCUCGUAAGCACAAGUCAACAUCUUGUGUUGAUUACGUCCCUGCUCUUUGUACACACCGCCCGUCGCUCCUACCGAUCGAGUGUUUAGGUGAAUUUGAUGGACGUAAGGAAGUCAAAUAAACCUGAGCACUAGAGAAGAGAAGUCUACAG